RNAcentral lists this ribosomal RNA (385 nucleotides) under uncultured bacterium. RNAcentral's name for it is "bacterial SSU rRNA". It matches the Rfam family "Bacterial small subunit ribosomal RNA", at positions 30 to 419 of the family's 1533-position model. The record is from RNAcentral.
AUUGAACGCUGGCGGAAUGCUUUACACAUGCAAGUCGAACGGUAGAGGGGGCAACCCCUCGAGAGUGGCGAACGGGUGAGUAAUAUAUCGGAACGUGCCCAGUCGUGGGGGAUAACGUAGCGAAAGUUACGCUAAUACCGCAUACGAUCUACGGAUGAAAGCAGGGGACCGCAAGGCCUUGCGCUCAUGGAGCGGCCGAUGGCAGAUUAGGUAGUUGGUGGGAUAAAAGCUUACCAAGCCGACGAUCUGUAGCUGGUCUGAGAGGACGACCAGCCACACUGGGACUGAGACACGGCCCAGACUCCUACGGGAGGCAGCAGUGGGGAAUUUUGGACAAUGGGGGAAACCCUGAUCCAGCCAUGCCGCGUGCAGGAUGAAGGCCUUC